UACGGAGGGUGCAAGCGUUGUCCGGAUUCACUGGGUUUAAAGGGUGCGUAGGUGGGCAGGUAAGUCAGUGGUGAAAUCUCCGGGCUUAACCCGGAAACUGCCAUUGAUACUAUCUGUCUUGAAUACCGUGGAGGUGAGCGGAAUAUGUCAUGUAGCGGUGAAAUGCUUAGAUAUGACAUAGAACACCCAUUGCGAAGGCAGCUAACUACGCGAUAAUUGACGCUGAUGCACGAAAGCGUGGGGAUCAAACAGG
RNAcentral lists this ribosomal RNA (253 nucleotides) under uncultured bacterium. RNAcentral describes it as "partial 16S ribosomal RNA". It matches the Rfam family "Bacterial small subunit ribosomal RNA", at positions 524 to 776 of the family's 1533-position model. The record is from RNAcentral.